Molecule: long non-coding RNA, 274 nt
Organism: Ruditapes philippinarum (Manila clam)
Lineage: Eukaryota; Metazoa; Mollusca; Bivalvia; Venerida; Veneridae
Exons: 3
Source: RefSeq, a predicted model, not a curated record
AACGAUAGAAGAGGAAAGAAAUAACGCCUCACAGAUCAAUAGGGUCACAGCUACAGAUGCUGAUGGACAGGGUGUGAUGAUGUACAGUGUAAUUGGUUUGAAUACGGCUCCAAGUUUCUUCUUUGUUGGUAGCAAUGGUCAAGUGUUUAGUCGAGGAACAUUGAGAUCAGAUAGAGAUAUGGAAUAUGUUUUGAGAGUUGUAGCACACGACAGUUUGACACCCAACCAACAAGCAACAGCAGACGUCACAAUUUCUGUCAGACGUAAUGUGUAU